This 329-nucleotide unclassified non-coding RNA is filed under the name soil metagenome. RNAcentral's name for it is "partial contains 5.8S ribosomal RNA, internal transcribed spacer 2, and large subunit ribosomal RNA". The stretch from base 1 to 120 matches the Rfam family "5.8S ribosomal RNA", at positions 35 to 154 of the family's 154-position model. The record is from RNAcentral.
GAUGAAGAACGUAGCGAAAUGCGAUAAGUAAUGUGAAUUGCAGAAUUCAGUGAAUCAUCGAAUCUUUGAACGCACAUUGCGCCCCCUGGUAUUCCGGGGGGCAUGCCUGUCCGAGCGUCAUUACAACCCUCAAGCUCAGCUUGGUGUUGGGCCCCGCCGCCCCGGCGGGCCCUAAAGUCAGUGGCGGUGCCGUCCGGCUCCGAGCGUAGUAAUUCUUCUCGCUCUGGAGGUCUGGUCGUGUGCUCGCCAGCAACCCCCAAUUUUUUUCAGGUUGACCUCGGAUCAGGUAGGGAUACCCGCUGAACUUAAGCAUAUCAAUAAGCGGAGGA